Molecule: ribosomal RNA, 2806 nt
Filed under: Enterobacter cloacae complex sp. P9RS
Lineage: Bacteria; Pseudomonadati; Pseudomonadota; Gammaproteobacteria; Enterobacterales; Enterobacteriaceae
Description: 23S ribosomal RNA
Rfam family: Bacterial large subunit ribosomal RNA
Source: RNAcentral
UUGACCCGUCGAUGUCCGAAUGGGGAAACCCAGUGUGAUUCGACACACUAUCGUUAACUGAAUACAUAGGUUAACGAGGCGAACCGGGGGAACUGAAACAUCUAAGUACCCCGAGGAAAAGAAAUCAACCGAGAUUCCCCCAGUAGCGGCGAGCGAACGGGGAGCAGCCCGGAGUCUGAAUCAGCUUGUGUGUUAGUGGAAGCGUCUGGAAAGUCGCACGGUACAGGGUGACAGUCCCGUACACGAAAAUGCACAGGUUGUGAACUCGAAGAGUAGGGCGGGACACGUGGUAUCCUGUCUGAAUAUGGGGGGACCAUCCUCCAAGGCUAAAUACUCCUGACUGACCGAUAGUGAACCAGUACCGUGAGGGAAAGGCGAAAAGAACCCCGGCGAGGGGAGUGAAAAAGAACCUGAAACCGUGUACGUACAAGCAGUGGGAGCACCUUCGGGUGUGACUGCGUACCUUUUGUAUAAUGGGUCAGCGACUUAUAUUCUGUAGCAAGGUUAACCGUAUAGGGGAGCCGCAGGGAAACCGAGUCUUAACUGGGCGUUAAGUUGCAGGGUAUAGACCCGAAACCCGGUGAUCUAGCCAUGGGCAGGUUGAAGGUUGGGUAACACUAACUGGAGGACCGAACCGACUAAUGUUGAAAAAUUAGCGGAUGACCUGUGGCUGGGGGUGAAAGGCCAAUCAAACCGGGAGAUAGCUGGUUCUCCCCGAAAGCUAUUUAGGUAGCGCCUCGUGAACUCAUCUUCGGGGGUAGAGCACUGUUUCGGCUAGGGGGCCAUCCCGGCUUACCAACCCGAUGCAAACUACGAAUACCGAAGAAUGUUAUCACGGGAGACACACGGCGGGUGCUAACGUCCGUCGUGAAGAGGGAAACAACCCAGACCGCCAGCUAAGGUCCCAAAGUCAUGGUUAAGUGGGAAACGAUGUGGGAAGGCACAGACAGCCAGGAUGUUGGCUUAGAAGCAGCCAUCAUUUAAAGAAAGCGUAAUAGCUCACUGGUCGAGUCGGCCUGCGCGGAAGAUGUAACGGGGCUAAACCAUGCACCGAAGCUGCGGCAGCGACGCUUAUGCGUUGUUGGGUAGGGGAGCGUUCUGUAAGCCGUCGAAGGUGUGCUGUGAGGCAUGCUGGAGGUAUCAGAAGUGCGAAUGCUGACAUAAGUAACGAUAAAGCGGGUGAAAAGCCCGCUCGCCGGAAGACCAAGGGUUCCUGUCCAACGUUAAUCGGGGCAGGGUGAGUCGACCCCUAAGGCGAGGCCGAAAGGCGUAGUCGAUGGGAAACAGGUUAAUAUUCCUGUACUUGGUGUUACUGCGAAGGGGGGACGGAGAAGGCUAUGUCAGCCGGGCGACGGUUGUCCCGGUUUAAGCGUGUAGGUGUGUGUUCCAGGCAAAUCCGGUUCACUUUAACACUGAGGCGUGAUGACGAGGCACUACGGUGCUGAAGUGAUAAAUGCCCUGCUUCCAGGAAAAGCCUCUAAGCAUCAGGUAACACGAAAUCGUACCCCAAACCGACACAGGUGGUCAGGUAGAGAAUACCAAGGCGCUUGAGAGAACUCGGGUGAAGGAACUAGGCAAAAUGGUGCCGUAACUUCGGGAGAAGGCACGCUGAUAUGUAGGUGAAGUCCCUGCGGACGGAGCUGAAAUCAGUCGAAGAUACCAGCUGGCUGCAACUGUUUAUUAAAAACACAGCACUGUGCAAACACGAAAGUGGACGUAUACGGUGUGACGCCUGCCCGGUGCCGGAAGGUUAAUUGAUGGGGUUAGCGGCAACGCGAAGCUCUUGAUCGAAGCCCCGGUAAACGGCGGCCGUAACUAUAACGGUCCUAAGGUAGCGAAAUUCCUUGUCGGGUAAGUUCCGACCUGCACGAAUGGCGUAAUGAUGGCCAGGCUGUCUCCACCCGAGACUCAGUGAAAUUGAACUCGCUGUGAAGAUGCAGUGUACCCGCGGCAAGACGGAAAGACCCCGUGAACCUUUACUAUAGCUUGACACUGAACACUGGUCCUUGAUGUGUAGGAUAGGUGGGAGGCUUUGAAGCGUGGACGCCAGUCUGCGUGGAGCCGUCCUUGAAAUACCACCCUUUAAUGGCUGGUGUUCUAACGUGGACCCGUAAUCCGGGUUGCGGACAGUGUCUGGUGGGUAGUUUGACUGGGGCGGUCUCCUCCCAAAGAGUAACGGAGGAGCACGAAGGUUAGCUAAUCCUGGUCGGACAUCAGGAGGUUAGUGCAAUGGCAUAAGCUAGCUUGACUGCGAGAGUGACGGCUCGAGCAGGUGCGAAAGCAGGUCAUAGUGAUCCGGUGGUUCUGAAUGGAAGGGCCAUCGCUCAACGGAUAAAAGGUACUCCGGGGAUAACAGGCUGAUACCGCCCAAGAGUUCAUAUCGACGGCGGUGUUUGGCACCUCGAUGUCGGCUCAUCACAUCCUGGGGCUGAAGUAGGUCCCAAGGGUAUGGCUGUUCGCCAUUUAAAGUGGUACGCGAGCUGGGUUUAGAACGUCGUGAGACAGUUCGGUCCCUAUCUGCCGUGGGCGCUGGAGAAUUGAGGGGGGCUGCUCCUAGUACGAGAGGACCGGAGUGGACGCAUCACUGGUGUUCGGGUUGUCAUGCCAAUGGCACUGCCCGGUAGCUAAAUGCGGAAGAGAUAAGUGCUGAAAGCAUCUAAGCACGAAACUUGCCCCGAGAUGAGUUCUCCCUGAGACUUUAAGUCUCCUGAAGGAACGUUGAAGACGACGACGUUGAUAGGCCGGGUGUGUAAGCGCAGCGAUGCGUUGAGCUAACCGGUACUAAUGAACCGUGAGGCUUAACCUU